AUUGAACGCUGGCGGUAUGCUUAACACAUGCAAGUCGAACGGAAACAGGACGCUGUGAUCUCUUCGGAGUGAACUUGUCGCUGUCGAGUGGCGGACGGGUGAGUAAUGCUUGGGAAUCUGCCCAUUAGUGGGGGACAACACGGGGAAACUCGUGCUAAUACCGCAUACGCCCUACGGGGGAAAGCGGGGGAUCUUCGGACCUCGCGCUAAUGGAUGAGCCCAAGUCGGAUUAGCUUGUUGGUGGGGUAAAGGCCUACCAAGGCAUCGAUCCGUAGCUGGUCUGAGAGGACGAUCAGCCACACUGGGACUGAGACACGGCCCAG
This 323-nucleotide ribosomal RNA is filed under the name uncultured bacterium. Its description in RNAcentral is "bacterial SSU rRNA". It matches the Rfam family "Bacterial small subunit ribosomal RNA", at positions 30 to 334 of the family's 1533-position model. The record is from RNAcentral.